GACGAACGCUGGCGGCGUGCUUAACACAUGCAAGUCGAACGGAAAGGCCCUGCUUGCAGGGUACUCGAGUGGCGAACGGGUGAGUAACACGUGGGUGAUCUGCCCUGCACUUCGGGAUAAGCUUGGGAAACUGGGUCUAAUACCGGAUAGGAGCCAUCUUUAAAGCAGGGGAUCUUCGGACCUUGCGCUAUUGGAUGAGCCUAAGUCAGAUUAGCUUGUUGGUGGGGUAAUGGCCUACCAAGGCGACGAUCUGUAGCUGGUCUGAGAGGAUGAUCAGCCACACUGGGACUGAGACACAGCCCAGACUCCUACGGGAGGCAGCAGUGGGGAAUAUUGGACAAUGGGCGAAAGCCUGAUCCAGCAAUGCCGCGUGUGUGAAGAAGGCCCGCGGGUUGUAAAGCACUUUCAGUAGCGAGGAAAAGCUUAAGGUUAAUAACCUUGAGUCUUGACGUUAACUACAGAAGAAGCACCGGCUAACUCUGUGCCAGCAGCCGCGGUAAUACAGAGGGUGCAAGCGUUAAUCGGAAUUACUGGGCGUAAAGCGCGCGUAGGUUGUUUGUUAAGUCGGAGUGAAAGUCCUGGGUUUAACCUGGGAACUGCAUACCAAACUGCGCAACUAGAGUAUGAUAGAGGGGGGUAGAAUUUCAGGUGUAGCGGUGAAAUGCGUAGAGAUCUGAAGGAAUAUUGGUGGCGAAGGCGGCCCCCUGGAUUGAUACUGACACUGAGGUGCGAAAGCGUGGGUAGUAAACAGGAUUAGAUACCCUGGUAGUCCACGCUGUAAAUGAUGUCUACUAGCUGUUGGAGGAUUUGAUCCUUUAGUGGCGCAGUUAAUGUAAUAAGUAGACCGCCUGGGGAGUACGGCCGCAAGGCUAAAACUCAAAUGAAUUGACGGGGGCCCGUACAAGUGGUGGAGCAUGUGGUUUAAUUCGACGCAAUGCGAAGAACCUUACCUACUCUUGACAUCCUCGGAACUUAGCAGAGAUGCUUAGGUGCCUUCGGGAACCGAGUGACAGGUGCUGCAUGGCUGUCGUCAGCUCGUGUCGUGAGAUGUUGGGUUAAUUCCCGUAACGAGCGCAACCCUUGUCCCUAGCUGCCAGCGAUUCGUUCGGGAACUCUAGGGAGACUGCCGGUGACAAACCGGAGGAAGGUGGGGAUGACGUCAAGUCAUCAUGGCCCUUACGGGUAGGGCUACACACGUGCUACAAUGGCCGGUACAGAGAGUCGCGAACCUGCAAAGGGAAGCCAAUCUCACAAAGCCGGUCGUAGUCCGGAUUGGAGUCUGCAACUCGUCUCCAUGAAGUCGGAAUCGCUAGUAAUCGCAGAUCAGAAUGCUGCGGUGAAUACGUUCCCGGGCCU
This 1356-nucleotide ribosomal RNA is filed under the name uncultured prokaryote. RNAcentral's name for it is "partial 16S ribosomal RNA". It matches the Rfam family "Bacterial small subunit ribosomal RNA", at positions 28 to 1381 of the family's 1533-position model. The record is from RNAcentral.